Molecule: ribosomal RNA, 386 nt
Filed under: uncultured bacterium
Lineage: Bacteria
Description: bacterial SSU rRNA
Rfam family: Bacterial small subunit ribosomal RNA
Source: RNAcentral
AUUGAACGCUGGCGGCAUGCUUUACACAUGCAAGUCGAACGGCAGCACGGGGGCAACCCUGGUGGCGAGUGGCGAACGGGUGAGUAAUAUAUCGGAACGUACCCGGAAAUGGGGGAUAACGUAGCGAAAGUUACGCUAAUACCGCAUAUGCCCUAAGGGGGAAAGCGGGGGAUUCGCAAGAACCUCGCGUUUUCGGAGCGGCCGAUAUCGGAUUAGCUAGUAGGUGAGGUAAAGGCUCACCUAGGCGACGAUCCGUAGCUGGUCUGAGAGGACGACCAGCCACACUGGAACUGAGACACGGCCCAGACUCCUACGGGAGGCAGCAGUGGGGAAUUUUGGACAAUGGGCGAAAGCCUGAUCCAGCCAUGCCGCGUGAGUGAAGAAGG